GAUGAACGCUGGCGGCGUGCCUAAUACAUGCAAGUCGAGCGAAAGGACCAGAAGCUUGCUCCGCUGAUGUUGUCGGCGGACGGGUGAUUAACACGUGGAUAACCUACCUAUAAGAAUGGGAUAACUUCGGGAAACCGGAGCUAAUACGGGAUAAUAUUUUGAACCGCAUGGUUCAAAAGUGAAAGACGGUAUUGCUGUGACUUAUAGAUGGAUACGCGCUGCAUUAGCUAGUUGGUAAGGUAACGGCUUACCAAGGCAACGAUGGAUAGCCGACCUGAGAGGGUGAUCGGCCACACGGUAAGUGAGACACGGUCCAGACUCCUACGGGAGGCAGCAGUAGGGAAUCUUCCGCGAUGGGGGAAAGCCUGACGGAGCAACGCCGCGUGAGUGAUGAAGUUCUUCGGAUCGUAAAACUCUGUUAUUAGGGAAGAACAUAUGUGUAAGUAACUGUGCACAUCUUGACGGUACCUAAUCAGAAAGCCACGGCUAACUACGUG
RNAcentral lists this ribosomal RNA (497 nucleotides) under uncultured bacterium. RNAcentral describes it as "partial 16S ribosomal RNA". It matches the Rfam family "Bacterial small subunit ribosomal RNA", at positions 28 to 507 of the family's 1533-position model. The record is from RNAcentral.